This 298-nucleotide signal recognition particle RNA is filed under the name Aotus nancymaae (Ma's night monkey). Its description in RNAcentral is "Metazoan signal recognition particle RNA (ENSANAG00000015096.1)". It matches the Rfam family "Metazoan signal recognition particle RNA". From Rfam's summary of the family: The signal recognition particle (SRP) is a universally conserved ribonucleoprotein. Lineage: Eukaryota; Metazoa; Chordata; Mammalia; Primates; Aotidae. The record is from RNAcentral.
GCCCAGCACGGUGGCGCAUGCCUGUAGUCCCAGCUACUCAGGAAGCUGAGGUGGGAGGAUUGCUUGCGCCCAGGAGUUCUGGGCUGCAGUGUGCUAUGCUGAUUGGGUGCCCACACUAAGUUCGGCAUCAAUAUGGUGACCUCCCAGGAAUGGGGGACCACCAGGUUGCCUAAGGAGGGGUGAACAGGCCCAGGUCGGAAACAGAGCAGGUCAAAACUCCCGUGCUGAUCAGUAGUGGAAUCACACCUGUGAAUAGCCACUGCAUUCCAGCCUGGGCAAAUAGCAAGACCCUGUCUCU